GUGGGGAAUCUUGGACAAUGGGCGCAAGCCUGAUCCAGCCAUGCCGCGUGAGUGAAGAAGGCCUUCGGGUUGUAAAGCUCUUUUACCAGGGACGAUAAUGACGGUACCUGGAGAAUAAGCCCCGGCAAACUUCGUGCCAGCAGCCGCGGUAAUACGAAGGGGGCUAGCGUUGUUCGGAAUUACUGGGCGUAAAGCGCACGUAGGCGGGUCGUUAAGUCAGGGGUGAAAUCCCAGAGCUCAACUCUGGAACUGCCUUUGAUACUGGCGACCUAGAGUCCGGAAGAGGUUAGUGGAAUUCCCAGUGUAGAGGUGAAAUUCGUAGAUAUUGGGAAGAACACCAGUGGCGAAGGCGGCUAACUGGUCCGGUACUGACGCUGAGGUGCGAAAGCGUGGGGAGCAAACAGGAUUAGAAACCCCAGUAGUCC
This 425-nucleotide ribosomal RNA is filed under the name uncultured bacterium. RNAcentral's name for it is "bacterial SSU rRNA". It matches the Rfam family "Bacterial small subunit ribosomal RNA", at positions 354 to 796 of the family's 1533-position model. The record is from RNAcentral.